CUCUCACCUGGUGGCGCCGGGGGCAGCUGGGCGGGGCCCCGGGGAGGGCGCGCGGGGCCGGCCCCCGGGUGUGCGCCGGGAAGGGGCGGUGUUCGGGGCGUCGAGCCCCGGGAGCCUGGGGCGCCAGGGCUCGCGCCGGAAGUCAGGCAUCCUGGGAAGUUUCGUUUUCGUUCAGUGGGAGGACUUUCGCGGAUGGACCUGCCCUCCUCAUUCUUGGAUCUAAGCAGGUGGCCUGUGGAAGUUUGUCACGGGAAGGCUCAGUGGCUGGUGGCAUUUUGCACUGUUGCUUCGGACGGAAGUCAUGUCCCCGCAGGGAUCUUUCCAGUGAACUUUGAAGAGAGAGAGAGAGAGAGAGAGAGAGAGAGAAUCCUAAGCAGGCUCCACACUGUCAGCCCGACUCCAGGCUCGAUCCCGUGAAUCGUCAGAUUGUGACCUGAGCUGAGAUCAAGAGUCAGGCACAAUUGACCGAGCCACCCAGGUGCCCCUAAACAAAGGUUUAAGGCUACAGUCACACUUCCUGCUCAGAUGAAGGAGGGCAGGGGCCGAGCUGGGGCGGGUGCCCUUGUCAGUAUGUCCCCUAGAAAGUCUGCAAAUCCUGCCUGGGUCACCUCUGUCUUCCAGGCCGUUUCCUCCUCACCGCAGGGUUGACGGGUCACAGCUGGCUUCCUCCAACAGGCCAACUGUCCAUCCCUGUUGUGUGACAGGUGACGUGCAUGGAGCCCUCCAGAACUCAGCUACCAGCACCCACCGUGCCGUCCGACACGGAUGCUCUGAGGUACAACCUGACAGGAGGGGGC
Long non-coding RNA from Herpailurus yagouaroundi (jaguarundi), 797 nucleotides. RefSeq lists it as uncharacterized. Lineage: Eukaryota; Metazoa; Chordata; Mammalia; Carnivora; Felidae. The transcript is spliced from 3 exons. The record is from RefSeq and is a predicted model, not a curated record.